GCCUCCGUAGCUCAGCUGGACAGAGCAACGGCUUUCUAAUCCGUAGGUCGCAGGUUCGAAUCCUGCCGGGGGCG
Molecule: transfer RNA, 74 nt
Filed under: Actinomycetota bacterium
Lineage: Bacteria; Bacillati; Actinomycetota
Description: Actinobacteria bacterium tRNA-Arg
Rfam family: tRNA
About the family: Transfer RNA (tRNA) molecules are approximately 80 nucleotides in length. Their secondary structure includes four short double-helical elements and three loops (D, anti-codon, and T loops).
Source: RNAcentral